UUGAACUAAACGCACCCUAAGUGAUUGGUUAUUGCAACUCAUUUGAUUGGUAUUUUAUACUUUUUUUUAUCAAAAAACUGAAAUGGCUUUCUUGCUACUAUGACAGGAGUCUGCAAGGUAAUAUUAUAUGUGUUUCUCCAUGAAAUUUCAUGAGUACUUAUAUCAGUUUUCACGUUCCCAAUUGUUUUAGUUUAUUGUUGCAUGAUCAUUUUGCUCUAAUUUUCGAAUUAUAUGUACAUGAUUACGUAGUUGCUCAUAAAUCACUCAAGAAGUAUAUGUUCGGUUAAUGUAAUACAUAACUAUCUCAUUAUCUAAUAUCUAAAUGCCUAAAUGAUUGGUUUACCCUUGCUUUUUCAUUGACUUUUAGAGCUGUUGUGAGCAAAAGGUGUGUACAAAUCUUUUAUUGAAUGAACCAAUGGCCUUGCAGCCACUCUUCAAUUCAAGACCAGCAACCGUGGAGACGGUGGAGUCCCAGCUUCAUUAGCAAAUUUCUAUAAAAGUUUGGGCUGCCCCCUCCGUUUAAACUGAACAGAAACGAGGCAAAAGGCAAGAGGACACAAUCACAAGUUCUCUUGAUGGUGAGAUAUGCUUGAGAGUUUACAAAGCAGCAUGCAGACCCUUCAUUAUGUUUUCUUUGAGUAGUCGAGUUGAACUUGAAGUCUUUUAAUAAUGAGGGCUUUAAAAUGACAUGGCAAUACCAAUAUUGGAGAAAUUUCAGCUCCAUGAUUGUAUGGUUUUAAAUGUGUCCAGAAGUGAUCGUGCUAUUAGUCGAAUAGAGUUUGAAGUCUUCCAUGUUGGCACUUAUAGUAAUUUGAGGUUUAAGUGUGAUCAUGUGUUUCGAGAUAUGGGAGAUGGCAGGACCUAAAUAUAUGCAUUCAAGUUUUAGAAGAGCGUGAUGCAGAUUCCUUCGUCCUAUUUUGCUCAUGGUUCAUGUUUGUCAUGGCUUUAUGAUGAAUU
Long non-coding RNA from Erigeron canadensis, 957 nucleotides. RefSeq lists it as uncharacterized. The transcript is spliced from 6 exons. NCBI's taxonomy places the organism in Eukaryota, Viridiplantae, Streptophyta, Magnoliopsida, Asterales, Asteraceae. The record is from RefSeq and is a predicted model, not a curated record.